Long non-coding RNA from Herpailurus yagouaroundi (jaguarundi), 330 nucleotides. RefSeq lists it as uncharacterized. Lineage: Eukaryota; Metazoa; Chordata; Mammalia; Carnivora; Felidae. The transcript is spliced from 2 exons. The record is from RefSeq and is a predicted model, not a curated record.
CGGGAACCAGAUUUUGAGCAACGCUGUCCUCUCCUGGUACAAGCCUUUACAAAACCCACUUGAGCCUCUGUGCCCAGUCUGGACACACUCGUCUGAUUUCACAGUGAGCCAGGGAACUACUGGGGCCAGUUCUCAGGUGGUAGCAGGAGCCCCGUCUCACCAGCGUGGGAGCACAGCCGGGAGGCUCAGGCGGCCAAGGUCAGACAGAGAGCCGGGGGACCACACGGACUCAAGUCCAGUUACUCUUUACUAGACUCCAGCUGCCCCACAGGAGUCUUCGUUUUCUUAAGCCCUCACCUAAAAGCUUUGAAAACAUUAUGGAAUGAACUA